UGGCUCUGUGGUAGAGUGCUUGCCUUACAUGCAUGAGGCCCUGAGUUCGAUUCCUCAG
Molecule: transfer RNA, 58 nt
Filed under: Dipodomys ordii (Ord's kangaroo rat)
Lineage: Eukaryota; Metazoa; Chordata; Mammalia; Rodentia; Heteromyidae
Rfam family: tRNA
About the family: Transfer RNA (tRNA) molecules are approximately 80 nucleotides in length.
Source: Rfam by way of RNAcentral